CCUCAUCUGUAAAACGGGGAGUGAUAAUACCUGUGAAACAAACUUUAUGGGGUUUUCAUGAGAAAAGCACUUCCCGUACCUUAAAGAAUGUCAGCCAAUAAGCCUGAAGAUGCCCAGAGAGUAAUUACAUGGGUUUUGAUUUGAAGCCGAAAGACAGUACUUAGUGAGAGGAACUGCUGUAUCAGACUGAAGUGAACAGCCAGAGAAGACUUCAUCCACCACACAAGUGGCCUGACUGAUCGGGAGCUCCUUGAGCACAAAGACCAAGUCUUGGUAUCCUCUGAUGCCCAGCAUCAUGCAUUGAAUACUAUCUACCUUGUUAGUGUUUGCUGAAUGAAUUACUUAAAGAAGAUUCUUUUCAACUAGUUCUGAAUACUUAAAAACUCUAUUAGAAAAAAAAAAACACAAACCUACCACGUGGUCAUUUAGUUGGACUGGAUGUGCUGCUUCCUGUUUCUUAAUCUUGUUGGACUCCCAGAGAGGCAUGAAAUCUUUGUUGGAACAGUUAGGUUUUUACUCUGUCAACUGGAAAAUGGGUCAGCCAAACAGGGCUUAAUAAAGUUCCAUCCAGGUGAGCCAACUGGAAAUUAUCUCAGUACCAGCCAGCUUCCCCUUUACUUUCAUGAGAGGAGAAUAAGAGAGUCCUGAAAGAGACAAAAUUUAUAAUCCUACUUCCACAGGAGGACCCUCAAGAAAGAAUUCUAGCAAUUUAGUAAUUCCUGGUGUUUUUUUUGUUUGGUUUGUUUUGUUUUGCCUUUUAAGAUUCAAAGCCACCUGGUUUUUAGCAAAGAUCUGAUUGUAUGUUAAAAUGGACUAAGAUUUGUAGGUAUUCAAGUACCCAGCUUAUCAGCCAAAGCAAGUUGUGGAGCAGAUGCUCCACUUUUCAGAGAUAAAGAAUAGAGUACCUGACACUGAAAUAUUGCAGUCAUGAACAGGCCUAUUUAAAUAUCUGGGUUAAAAAAAAGAAAGUGAAGAACUGAGGUCAACACACAAUUGAAAAGAGGACCCAAAGCCAGUACCUCCUCCCCACUCUCAUACCCUCAAGAAAACUGCUUUUAAAUGCCUUCAGCAAUCACGCAUGACUCUGAAAGCAAUCCCUUUUUAACCAGCUCUCUUCCAACAGCUUAGACUGCCCCAUAAGUCAUUCUGGGAAGGGAACCAAAAGAUGUCGUUAAUCAAAUCAGGAUAAUUACUAGGAGGCAGGUUAAGAAACACAAAGAUGAAGAUAUGGGGGAAGUAGACAGAGCAAACAGGAAGUGGGGUCAGAAAUACAGGAGAGCCAUGUUUGUUAAACAAAGGUCAAGAAGGGUAGGAAAAAUACCUUCAGGUUCUGUGGCUACAAGAUUCUAUCCCUCACAAAUGGUGACAAAGGACUUUAUAUAUCCAGGUAAAAUUUCCUUCUUACAGACAGUCCAUCAGGAGGCCAGUAUUAAACCUUCAUAGGAUUACAGAAACAGAAAGGGGAAAAUGAGGCCCUGAGAGGGUGAGUGCUUCGCCUGAGGUCUAAUAAGUAACAGCAAAAAGUCAGCUUCCCUGUCCUAAAGUCACAGUAUUUAGAACUUGAAAGUCUUCAGUGGCCAAAAAAAAAUCUUUCUCUAACUUUACAGGUUAGAAAACUAAGACCAAGAAAGGUAUAGGGACCUACCCAGGUUCACACAGGUAGCUAAGUGAGGGCUGAUACCCAAAUUGAAAAGGCCUGGAAGCUGUCCUUAGGUACUGAUUACCUCCUGCAAUAUAAGAGAUCAGAGAAACUCAGGAUGUUCUUCUGAUGGGGGUAAUUAAUAGAAGAGACAUGGUUGGGAGCUAGUUCCUAGGUCUGUGACGGUAUAUUCAGGAUGAAACUCAGAAGGACAGAGAGCCAGUGCUUGGGCUAAGCAGUUGUCAAAUCAGCCAUCCCUGCAGAAACAAGGUUGAGGUUAAAUAAGAACCAAUGGUUAAGACAAGUGGUUGGUUGUCAUGACUGUGCAAAAUGUUCUUUGGUGUCUGUGUGUGUGUGUGUGUGUGUGUGUGUGUGUGUGUGUGUGUGUGUGUGUGUGUGUGUGUAUGAAAGUGGGCAUACAUUCUGAUAUAGAUCGUUGGAGGAAUUUGAAGGCAUGUUUGAGAUCUUAGGGUACAUAUUCCAGGAAGGUCUAGGAUGAGAAUACAUCUGGGGGCUAGGCAGAGACUGGUAAUUCAUGCUGGUAAAGCUCAGAGACCGAAUGAAAGUUAGAUUCCAGGGAUGAUUCCCCCCUAACCCCUAAGCAAUAUUAACAUUUUUAGGACUGUGAUAAAACAGAGUAGGGAAGAAAGGAGGGAAACACAAGAUGACCAGAGCUGAAUAAGUGAUUGAGAUGAGAUAGUAUGAAAAUGAAUUUGUGUCAGUAAGGAGCAGAGACAAGAUUGGAACCCAUGUUUUCUAACUCCAAAUCCGGAGCUUUUAACAUUAAAUCACCCUGCUGCCCUCUCAGUACCUUCUAUCUCAACACUUUUAAUUAGUUUUAAUCUUUACAGAGGAUGCACUCCAAAACCUAGCCUAGAUCUUUGACAUCAAAGUAGGUGGGGGCUUCUUACCAAAAAGGUUUUAUAUUAUUUCAGGUUCUUUUCUUCUAUAAAGGCAUCCCCAGAAGUCAUCAGUUAACAUAUGAGGAGUUAGAGAGAAUCAUCCAUUGAGAUGGAUUUUACUAGUAUUAACACUCUAACUCUAAAAAGGAGACUGGAUUGCAGCCCAGUCCUGGUAUUGCAGUUUCUUUGAUAUAUAAGGGAUAAAACGCCAAUUGAACUAGUAGGCCGGUAGCUCCUUAGGCUACCCUGAUGCUCUCUGAUAAUCUCCUGUUUCAAAAUAAAGAAGGGUUCAUUUUAUGUUGUUUCCUAAAUACCUGAGAAAUACAUGUGAGAACAUUUGGAAACAAUGAUGUUCUUAUGAUAAUAGUUUCUUUAGAAGAGUAAUGUUUACGUGGGUCUUCAGCCAAUGAAGAAAAGUGUGUCUGGUUGAUAGUACAAAAAUAAAUUGUCCAGUUCCCUUUAUAACUUCUGCAUUUCUCAUACUUUUUUUUUUGGUACUUUUACUACCAAAUGCCUUACUUGAAGGAGGCAACAAGUUUCAGGUCACUCUGACUUUUCUUGAUAUGACACUGAAAUUUUUUAAACCUGGAAUUUAUUAUUAUAAUUUUACAAUACUGUUUUGAUAAUAAUUAUGUUAUUAAAUUGCAUGAUAAAUUACACUGUUAAAUUUGAUCAUUUACCAUCAAUAAGAUGAUCAAUUUAGAAAAAUGAAAAAUAUUACUUUCAAGGAAAACCCCAAUCAAUUGUAUUUAGGGAUGGACAUACUCUAGGCAUAAAUGAUGAAAUGAAGACAUUAUGGGCAGAUGAGUGAGAAGUCAUGAAAUCAUACUUGUAAAACUAUUUCUAAAGCCAGACAAGUUGCUUAUUCUUCUACAAAUGAAUAAAUAAUGUGAAUUUGAAUUUGAUUGGAAAAUAUUAUUAUGGGGGGCAGAGCUAAGAUGGCAGAGUGAAAGCAGCAACUUGCUUGAGCUGUCCC
This is a long non-coding RNA of Phascolarctos cinereus (koala), 3517 nucleotides long. RefSeq lists it as uncharacterized. Lineage: Eukaryota; Metazoa; Chordata; Mammalia; Diprotodontia; Phascolarctidae. The record is from RefSeq and is a predicted model, not a curated record.